UGGUGGCACCCUUUGUGAGGACCAAGGC
Molecule: non-coding RNA, 28 nt
Filed under: Homo sapiens (human)
Lineage: Eukaryota; Metazoa; Chordata; Mammalia; Primates; Hominidae
Source: RNAcentral